RNAcentral lists this ribosomal RNA (274 nucleotides) under uncultured bacterium. RNAcentral's name for it is "partial 16S ribosomal RNA". It matches the Rfam family "Bacterial small subunit ribosomal RNA", at positions 523 to 796 of the family's 1533-position model. The record is from RNAcentral.
CUACGAAGGGGGCUAGCGUUGUUCGGAAUUACUGGGCGUAAAGCGCGCGUAGGCGGACUGAUCAGUUGGGGGUGAAAUCCCAGGGCUUAACCCUGGAACUUCCUCCAAUACUGUCAGUCUUGAGUUCGGGAGAGGUGAGUGGAAUUCCUAGUGUAGAGGUGAAAUUCGUAGAUAUUAGGAAGAACACCAGUGGCGAAGGCGGCUCACUGGCCCGAUACUGACGCUGAGGCGCGAAAGCGUGGGGAGCAAACAGGAUUAGAAACCCUAGUAGUCC